This 114-nucleotide ribosomal RNA is filed under the name Microtus ochrogaster (prairie vole). The record is from RNAcentral. Lineage: Eukaryota; Metazoa; Chordata; Mammalia; Rodentia; Cricetidae.
GUCUAUGGAUAUAGGACCCUGAACUCACCCAGUCUCCUCUGAUCUUGGUAGCUAAUCAGGGUCAGACCCAGACAGUACUUGCAUAGGAAGAUCAUAGAAGGUGAGACCAUGACA